CCUACGGGUGGCAGCAGUCGAGAAUCAUUCACAAUGGGGGAAACCCUGAUGGUGCGACGCCGCGUGGGGGAAUGAAGGUCUUCGGAUUGUAAACCCCUGUCAUGUGGGAGCAAAUUAAAAAGAUAGUACCACAAGAGGAAGAGACGGCUAACUCUGUGCCAGCAGCCGCGGUAAUACAGAGGUCUCAAGCGUUGUUCGGAAUCACUGGGUGUAAAGCGUGCGUAGGCUGUUUCGUAAGUCGUGUGUGAAAGGCGCGGGCUCAACCCGCGGACGGCACAUGAUACUGCGAGACUAGAGUAAGGGAGGGGGAACCGGAAUUCUCGGUGUAGCAGUGAAAUGCGUAGAUAUCGAGAGGAACACUCGUGGCGAAGGCGGGUUCCUGGACAUUAACUGACGCUGAGGCACGAAGGCUAGGGGAGCGAAAGGGAUUAGAUACCCGUGUAGUC
RNAcentral lists this ribosomal RNA (446 nucleotides) under uncultured bacterium. RNAcentral describes it as "partial 16S ribosomal RNA". It matches the Rfam family "Bacterial small subunit ribosomal RNA", at positions 338 to 795 of the family's 1533-position model. The record is from RNAcentral.